This 377-nucleotide ribosomal RNA is filed under the name uncultured eukaryote. RNAcentral's name for it is "partial 18S ribosomal RNA". It matches the Rfam family "Eukaryotic small subunit ribosomal RNA", at positions 592 to 976 of the family's 1831-position model. The record is from RNAcentral.
CAAUAGUGUAUAUUAAAGUUGUUGCAGUUAAAAAGCUCGUAGUUGGAUUUCGGGGUGGCCUGCCUGGUCCACCGCAAGGUGAGUACUGGUCAGCCGCCCUUCCUCUCGAAAGCCCCGACUGCUCUUCAUUGCAGUGGUCGGGUAGUUCGGGACGUUUACUUUGAAAAAAUUAGAGUGUUCAAGGCAGGCUAUCGCCUGAAUACAUUAGCAUGGAAUAAUGGAAGAGGACCUCGGUCCUAUUUUGUUGGUUUCUAGGGCCGAAGUAAUGAUUAAGAGGGACAGUUGGGGGCAUUCGUAUUUAAUUGUCAGAGGUGAAAUUCUUGGAUUUAUGAAAGACGAACUAGUGCGAAAGCAUUUGCCAAGGAUGUUUUCAUUAA